UUUGAGACACAGCUAAGCUAAGCUUGAACGUUAGCCUGCCACCAAGAAGGUUAGUUCUGGUGCAUAAGUUACCAUGGUUACUCAGCGGGCAUUCAAAUAAGCCACGUUGAUGGAACAGAACUCUGGCUUAAAUGGGCCAGACUUAUCAGUGGAGCGGGGGAUCAAAUCGCAACUGCAGAGGUUGUGAGCAGGUUGAGUCUCACUCUCAGGGGAAAAGCAAGGAGGGGCCUGAUCCUCUGGGUGUUUGACGGACGGAAAAGGUGAUGAUGUUACGUCGAGUCAAGGGUGUACCACGAACAAAAGACCAAAGAAACAAUCAGGU
This is a long non-coding RNA of Melanotaenia boesemani (Boeseman's rainbowfish), 322 nucleotides long. RefSeq lists it as uncharacterized. Lineage: Eukaryota; Metazoa; Chordata; Actinopteri; Atheriniformes; Melanotaeniidae. The transcript is spliced from 3 exons. The record is from RefSeq and is a predicted model, not a curated record.